This 467-nucleotide ribosomal RNA is filed under the name uncultured bacterium. RNAcentral describes it as "partial 16S ribosomal RNA". It matches the Rfam family "Bacterial small subunit ribosomal RNA", at positions 28 to 506 of the family's 1533-position model. The record is from RNAcentral.
GACGAACGCUGGCGGCGUGCUUAACACAUGCAAGUCGAACGGAAAGGCCCUGCUUUUGUGGGGUGCUCGAGUGGCGAACGUGUGAGUAACACGUGAGUAACCUGCCCUUGACUUUGGUAUAACUUCAGGAAACUGUGUCUAAUACCGGAUAGGAGCUCCUGCUUCAUGGUGGGGGUUGGAAAGUUUCGUCGGUUGGGGAUGGACUCGCGGCUUAUCAGCUUGUUGGUGGGGUAGUGGCUUACCAAGGCUUUGACGGGUAGCCGGCCUGAGAGGGUGACCGGCCACAGUGGGACUGAGAUACGGCACAGACUACUACGGGAGGCAGGAGUGGGGAAUAGUGCACAAGGGGCGGAAGCGUGAUGGAGAAACGGCGCGGGCGGGAUGACGGCCUUCGGGUUGUAAACCGCUUGCGAGUGUGACGAAGCGUGGGUGAGGGUAAUGGGGAAAGAAGCACCGGCUAACUACGU